RNAcentral lists this non-coding RNA (104 nucleotides) under Halobacillus karajensis. RNAcentral describes it as "Guanine sequence". It matches the Rfam family "Purine riboswitch aptamer". Rfam says of the family: Riboswitches are metabolite binding domains within certain messenger RNAs that serve as precision sensors for their corresponding targets. Allosteric rearrangement of mRNA structure is mediated by ligand binding, and this results in modulation of gene expression. The record is from Rfam by way of RNAcentral. Lineage: Bacteria; Bacillati; Bacillota; Bacilli; Caryophanales; Bacillaceae.
GUCAUCCAAUUACAUCCUACUCGUAUAUUCUCAGUAAUAAGGUCUGAGCGUUUCUACCUGGUUCCCAUUGAAAGAACUAGACUACGAGUUAAAGCAUAUCGCUG